GACGUAGGGCGCGAGCGUUGUCCGGAAUUAUUGGGCGUAAAGAGCUCGUAGGUGGCUUGUUGCGUCUGCCGUGAAAGCCCGUGGCUUAACUGCGGGUCUGCGGUGGAUACGGGCAGGCUAGAGGCUGGUAGGGGCAAGCGGAAUUCCUGGUGUAGCGGUGAAAUGCGCAGAUAUCAGGAGGAACACCAAUUGCGAAGGCAGCUCGCUGGGACGCUACUGACGCUGAGACGCGAAAGCGUGGGGAGCAAACAGG
This 253-nucleotide ribosomal RNA is filed under the name uncultured bacterium. RNAcentral describes it as "partial 16S ribosomal RNA". It matches the Rfam family "Bacterial small subunit ribosomal RNA", at positions 524 to 776 of the family's 1533-position model. The record is from RNAcentral.